GAGUUUGAUCCUGGCUCAGGAUGAACGCUAGCGGCAGGCUUAACACAUGCAAGUCGAGGGGUAUAAGUAGCUUGCUACUUAGAGACCGGCAAACGGGUGCGGAACACGUACGCAAUCUGCCCCUAUCUUGGAGAUAGCCCAUAGAAAUGUGGAUUAAUACCCAAUAGUAUAAUUGGAUGGCAUCAUUUGAUUAUUAAAGAAAUUCGGAUAGGGAUGAGCGUGCGUAAGAUUAGCUAGUUGGUGAGGUAACGGCUCACCAAGGCCACGAUCUUUAGCUGAUGUGAGAGCAUGAUCAGCCACACGGGCACUGAGACACGGGCCCGACUCCUACGGGAGGCAGCAGUGAGGAAUAUUGGUCAAUGGACGGAAGUCUGAACCAGCCAUGCCGCGUGAAGGAUGAAGGCGUUCUGCGUUGUAAACUUCUUUUAUCAGGGAAGAAACCUAUUUUUUCUAAGAUAGUUGACGGUACCUGAGGAA
RNAcentral lists this ribosomal RNA (477 nucleotides) under potato plant root bacterium RC-III-84. RNAcentral's name for it is "bacterial SSU rRNA". It matches the Rfam family "Bacterial small subunit ribosomal RNA", at positions 9 to 486 of the family's 1533-position model. The record is from RNAcentral.